Molecule: small nucleolar RNA, 113 nt
Organism: Mercurialis annua (annual mercury)
Lineage: Eukaryota; Viridiplantae; Streptophyta; Magnoliopsida; Malpighiales; Euphorbiaceae
Source: RefSeq, a predicted model, not a curated record
ACUUAGUAUGUGUACCUGCAGUAUAUAUGAACCAAUAUCAAAUUAUACCUAGUAGACUUUAGGUUGGAAUCUAGUGAGUUUCGGCUUGCCCAUAAAAGAAUCUACUUAUAUUU